CUAAAGGUUUUUAUCAAAACCACAAAUUGAGGAAGAAUAUUCUGA
This is a non-coding RNA of Erinaceus europaeus (western European hedgehog), 45 nucleotides long. NCBI's taxonomy places the organism in Eukaryota, Metazoa, Chordata, Mammalia, Eulipotyphla, Erinaceidae. The record is from Rfam.